GGCUCAGGAUGAACGCUGGCGGCGUGCUUAACACAUGCAAGUCGAACGAAGCAACUUAUUACGAUCCCUUCGGGGUGACGAUUUGUUGACUGAGUGGCGGACGGGUGAGUAACGCGUGGGUAACCUACCUUGUACAGGGGGACAACAGUUGGAAACGACUGCUAAUACCGCAUAAGCGCACAGCUUCGCAUGAAGCGGUGUGAAAAGUUUUUUCGGUACAAGAUGGACCCGCGUCUGAUUAGCUAGUUGGUGAGGUAACGGCCCACCAAGGCGACGAUCAGUAGCCGACCUGAGAGGGUGACCGGCCACAUUGGGACUGAGACACGGCCCAAACUCCUACGGGAGGCAGCAGUGGGGAAUAUUGCACAAUGGGCGAAAGCCUGAUGCAGCGACGCCGCGUGAGCGAAGAAGUAUUUCGGUAUGUAAAGCUCUAUCAGCAGGGAAGAUAAUGACGGUACCUGACUAAGAAGCACCGGCUAAAUACGUGCCAGCAGCCGCGGUAAUACGUAUGGUGCAAGCGUUAUCCGGAUUUACUGGGUGUAAAGGGAGCGUAGGCGGUUUUACAAGUCUGAUGUGAAAGCCCGGGGCUCAACUCCGGUAUUGCAUUGGAAACUGUAGAACUAGAGUGUCGGAGGGGUAAGUGGAAUUCCUAGUGUAGCGGUGAAAUGCGUAGAUAUUAGGAGGAACACCAGUGGCGAAGGCGGCUUACUGGACG
Molecule: ribosomal RNA, 715 nt
Filed under: Pseudobutyrivibrio sp. P24
Lineage: Bacteria; Bacillati; Bacillota; Clostridia; Lachnospirales; Lachnospiraceae
Description: bacterial SSU rRNA
Rfam family: Bacterial small subunit ribosomal RNA
Source: RNAcentral